Zalophus californianus (California sea lion) is the source of this 353-nucleotide long non-coding RNA. RefSeq lists it as uncharacterized. NCBI's taxonomy places the organism in Eukaryota, Metazoa, Chordata, Mammalia, Carnivora, Otariidae. The record is from RefSeq and is a predicted model, not a curated record. The transcript is spliced from 3 exons.
UGCAUGAAGAAAUUGCAUAAUGCAGUAGUAAUCAAAGAAACCUAAAUUUGGACUCUAGAAAUCAUCUACAUAUCAGGGGUAGGAUCAGAAAAAUAAACCAGUGAAGAAAAAUGAGAAAGAGGCAAAAGAAAAACCAAGAAGAAAUGAUAUCAAUGAAGUGAAGGAAUGGUCAUCAAUAUCACUGGCUAUGUAUCACAUAGGAAACUGAAGAAAAGCCAAUAGCAGUACAUGAAAUAACCAACUCAGAAAGUGUAUAAUGUAAAAGGAAAACAGAAUGAGGCAAGGAAGAAUUAACUGUAAUUCUCCACAUAAUAUAGGAAGAAACUGAGGCCCUCUUAACAUUAGAAAAAGGU